GGGGUGCUAUACAUGCAAGUCGAGCGGACAGAAGGGAGCUUGCUCCCGGAUGUUAGCGGCGGACGGGUGAGUAACACGUGGGUAACCUGCCUGUAAGACUGGGAUAACUCCGGGAAACCGGAGCUAAUACCGGAUAGUUCCUUGAACCGCAUGGUUCAAGGAUGAAAGACGGUUUCGGCUGUCACUUACAGAUGGACCCGCGGCGCAUUAGCUAGUUGGUGAGGUAACGGCUCACCAAGGCGACGAUGCGUAGCCGACCUGAGAGGGUGAUCGGCCACACUGGGACUGAGACACGGCCCAGACUCCUACGGGAGGCAGCAGUAGGGAAUCUUCCGCAAUGGACGAAAGUCUGACGGAGCAACGCCGCGUGAGUGAUGAAGGUUUUCGGAUCGUAAAGCUCUGUUGUUAGGGAAGAACAAGUGCAAGAGUAACUGCUUGCACCUUGACGGUACCUAACCAGAAAGCCACGGCUAACUACGUGCCAGCAGCCGCGGUAAUACGUAGGUGGCAAGCGUUGUCCGGAAUUAUUGGGCGUAAAGGGCUCGCAGGCGGUUUCUUAAGUCUGAUGUGAAAGCCCCCGGCUCAACCGGGGAGGGUCAUUGGAAACUGGGAAACUUGAGUGCAGAAGAGGAGAGUGGAAUUCCACGUGUAGCGGUGAAAUGCGUAGAGAUGUGGAGGAACACCAGUGGCGAAGGCGACUCUCUGGUCUGUAACUGACGCUGAGGAGCGAAAGCG
RNAcentral lists this ribosomal RNA (735 nucleotides) under Bacillus pumilus. RNAcentral describes it as "bacterial SSU rRNA". It matches the Rfam family "Bacterial small subunit ribosomal RNA", at positions 41 to 761 of the family's 1533-position model. The record is from RNAcentral. Lineage: Bacteria; Bacillati; Bacillota; Bacilli; Caryophanales; Bacillaceae.